GCAGUCGAACGAAGUAGCAAUACUUAGUGGCAGACGGGUGAGUAACAUGUAGGUAUCUUCCCUUUGGCCUGGAAUAACACGAGGAAACUUGUGCUAAUACUGGAUAAGUCUUUACGGAGAAAGCUUUAUGCACCAUUGGAUGAGCCUGCACUUGAUUAGUUUGUUGGUGGGGUAAUGGCCUACCAAGACUUUGAUCAAUAGCUGAUUUGAGAGGAUGAUCAGCCACAUUGGGACUGAGACACGGCCCAAACUCCUACGGGAGGCAGCAGUGGGGAAUCUUGCACAAUGGAGGAAACUCUGAUGCAGCGAUGCCGCGUGAGUGAAGAAGGCCUUUGGGUUGUAAAGCUCUUUCGUCGGGGAAGAAAAUGACUGUACCCGAAUAAGAAGGUCCGGCUAACUUCGUGCCAGCAGCCGCGGUAAUACGAAGGGACCUAGCGUAGUUCGGAAUUACUGGGCUUAAAGAGUUCGUAGGUGGUUGAAAAAGUUGGUGGUGAAAUCCCAGAGCUUAACUCUGGAACUGCCAUCAAAACUUUUCAGCUAGAGUUUGAUAGAGGAAAGCAGAAUUUCUAGUGUAGAGGUGAAAUUCGUAGAUAUUAGAAAGAAUACCAAUUGCGAAGGCAGCUUUCUGGAUCAUUACUGACACUGAGGAACGAAAGCAUGGGUAGCGAAGAGGAUUAGAUACCCUCGUAGUCCAUGCCGUAAACGAUGUGUGUUAGACGUUGGAAAUUUAUUUUCAGUGUCGCAGCGAAAGCGAUA
Molecule: ribosomal RNA, 756 nt
Filed under: alpha proteobacterium SCGC AAA015-J21
Lineage: Bacteria; Pseudomonadati; Pseudomonadota; Alphaproteobacteria
Description: SSU rRNA
Rfam family: Bacterial small subunit ribosomal RNA
Source: RNAcentral